CUUUCUAAGAGUUUCUGGUUGUUCUCGAGUGAGUGAUGAGUGUUGUUGUUGUGUAAUUCAAACACUGUAAUAAUUCCUCUCGUAAUGGCAGAUUGACUGGGGUUAAAUCCCUGCAAGUUGGUUGAUGAAAUUUAGUCCCAAGACCAAGAAAUUCUUGAGUCUAUUUAUCUAAUUCUUUGAUGGUUUUAUGUUCUGCCAUUGCUGUGGUUUCUUUCCUGUCUGUUAAUACAAAUCUGUGAAUGAUCAUUGUUUCCUGGGACAUGGGAGAUUGGUAAAAAUCCUAACAGGUCUCUUCUAAUAUCACUUGAACAAAAUCUUGGCACAAAUCAUUAAGAUUAGUACUUUUUAGUACAUAAGCAGUAUUACAUUACGAGUAAUUGUAGUUACCCAGAGCAAGCAAUAUCCAAGAGCUGUGUUAGCGUAAUACUACUACCACAAAAAUUUAAAUCCUCCACCUUUUCAGUAGAAAAUUAACUGAAAUUUGUCAUUCGUAAUGCAAGUUUCUCAUAGAAUAGACGAAAAUGAAGAUAAACUAAGUAAACUUGUUGAUUGAUUGGUUUGAAGAUUUCUUUUGUUAGUGUUCGUCCACAGAAGAUUUCGAGUUUUUAAAUUUUUGGCCGUCGAAGAUCUAUGAUUUUUUAAAGUAGAAAUUUGAUUUCUAGACAAUAUUUGGAUUAUCACAAAUUGUUGAGAAUUUUUCUCUUCCUUCUGUUCCCUCUCUUCUUUUGUUGUGCCGCGCCAUUAGGCCUCAUGGAAGGUGCAAAGAGGGGUCUGAUUGAGGGGUGUGUAGAUAAAGGGUUGUCAUUUACUGGUGUUCUUGAUAUGUCUAGCUUAAUAUCACAACUGUUUUCACUUCUGUUAUUGCAAGAACCUUCCAUUUCUUGAUGUGUCAAUCCAAUGGCCAUAACACUAUCUUCAAUCUUUUCAAAAGCUAACAUGAAAGAUUGAAUAUAAAAUCACUUGUUAUAAUUCCCUUUAAAGUUUAAAUCCUCUAGUAGUGGGCUACUAAAGAGAAGCUUUUUGAGGAUAGAAAAGACCAAAACGGAAGAUUUUUAGAUUUGGAAGAUGAAAAGAAGCAGGAAUCCAAAUGUCCUUGUUAUUAAAUAGUACAUUUGGAUUAAUAUUAGAACUAGUAGAAAUAUCCUCAUUAUCAAAUAGUACAUCAUAGCCAAAAUCAAAGGUUGAAAUCUUUUGUUGUGCCUACAGUGUUGGG
This 1213-nucleotide long non-coding RNA is filed under the name Olea europaea subsp. europaea. Lineage: Eukaryota; Viridiplantae; Streptophyta; Magnoliopsida; Lamiales; Oleaceae. The record is from RNAcentral.